CGUAGGUGGCAAGCGUUGUCCGGAUUUAUUGGGCGUAAAGCGAGUGCAGGCGGCUCGAUAAGUCUGAUGUGAAACGGCCUUCGGCGUCAACCGGAGAAUUGCAUCAGAAACUGUCGAGCUUGAGGUACAGAAGAGGAGAGUGGAACUCCAUGUGUAGCGGUGAAAUGCGUAGAUAUAUGGAACGAACACCGGUAGGCGAAGGCGGCUCUCUGGUCUAGUUACUGACGCUGAGGCUCGAAAGCAUGGGUAGCGAACAGGAUU
RNAcentral lists this ribosomal RNA (261 nucleotides) under uncultured bacterium. Its description in RNAcentral is "partial 16S ribosomal RNA". It matches the Rfam family "Bacterial small subunit ribosomal RNA", at positions 526 to 779 of the family's 1533-position model. The record is from RNAcentral.